AUGGAGCUCCCAUGGGGUGCCCUGCUGCUGGCGCUGCUCUCCGUCUCCUCCUCCUCCGCCGUCGCCACGCUCGCCGUCACCGCUCCCCCUCCGGCCCCUGCCCGUGCUCCUGCCCCCGUCACCGCCCCUGCCCCCGCCCAUGCACCUCCUCAAGCUCAGGAAGCUGAAGGUCUGCUGAUCAACGGCAACUUCGAGACGGCGCCGAGGAAGGUGAACAAGACCCUCAUCGUGGGGCGGCACUCGCUGCCGGGGUGGACGCUGCGGGGCCACGUCGAGUACGUCUCGGCGGGGCCGCAGCCGGGCGGCAUGUUCUUCGCGGUGCCGCACGGCGUGCACGCGCUCCGCCUCGGCAGCCACGCGUCGGCGUCGCAGAACGUGUCCGUGCGCCCCGGCUCGCUCUACGCGCUCACCUUCGCCGCCACCCGCACCUGCGCGCAGGACGAGGCCCUGCGCAUCGCCGUGUCCCCGUCGCUCUCGGCCCCGGCCGACGUCGCCGUCCGCACCCUCUACAGCGCCGACACCGCCGACACCUGGGCCUGGGGCUUCCGCGCCUCCUCCCCCGUCGCGCAGGUCACCUUCAGCAACCCGGGCGUGCAGGAGGACGCCGCGUGCGGCCCGCUCAUCGACGCCGUCGCCAUCAAGGAGCUCCCCACGCCCUACCCCACCAAAGAUAACCUGAUCAAGAACGACGGGUUCGAGAUCGGUCCGCAGGUGUUCAAGAACUCUAGCGUGGGCGUGCUGCUGCCGCCGAAGCAGAAGGACGUGACGUCGCCGCUGCCGGGCUGGAUCAUCGAGUCGCUCAAGGCGGUGCGGUACAUCGACGCGGCCCACUUCUCGGUGCCGGCGGGGCAGUACGCGGUGGAGCUGGUGGCCGGGCGGGAGAGCGCCAUCGCGCAGGUCAUCCGCACCGUGCCCAACCGCGCCUACAACCUCUCCUACGUCGUCGGCGACGCCAAGAACGGCUGCCACGGCUCCAUGCUCGUGGAGGCCUUCGCCGCCAACGUCACGCAGAAGGUGCCGUUCGAGUCCACGGGCAAGGGCGGCUUCAAGGCGGCGAGCCUCAGGUUCGUGGCCGCCGGAGUCCGCACCAGGGUCACCUUCUACAGCUCCUACUACCACACCAAGGUCACCGACGGCGUCUCGCUCUGCGGCCCCGUGCUGGACCAGGUCAAGAUCGUGCCGAUGAAGCUCUAG
RNAcentral lists this ribosomal RNA (1194 nucleotides) under Triticum aestivum (bread wheat). RNAcentral describes it as "partial small subunit ribosomal RNA". The record is from RNAcentral. Lineage: Eukaryota; Viridiplantae; Streptophyta; Magnoliopsida; Poales; Poaceae.